This 2928-nucleotide ribosomal RNA is filed under the name Escherichia coli. RNAcentral describes it as "bacterial LSU rRNA". It matches the Rfam family "Bacterial large subunit ribosomal RNA". Lineage: Bacteria; Pseudomonadati; Pseudomonadota; Gammaproteobacteria; Enterobacterales; Enterobacteriaceae. The record is from RNAcentral.
GGGUUGUGAGGUUAAGCGACUAAGCGUACACGGUGGAUGCCCUGGCAGUCAGAGGCGAUGAAGGACGUGCUAAUCUGCGAUAAGCGUCGGUAAGGUGAUAUGAACCGUUAUAACCGGCGAUUUCCGAAUGGGGAAACCCAGUGUGAUUCGUCACACUAUCAUUAACUGAAUCCAUAGGUUAAUGAGGCGAACCGGGGGAACUGAAACAUCUAAGUACCCCGAGGAAAAGAAAUCAACCGAGAUUCCCCCAGUAGCGGCGAGCGAACGGGGAGGAGCCCAGAGCCUGAAUCAGUGUGUGUGUUAGUGGAAGCGUCUGGAAAGGCGCGCGAUACAGGGUGACAGCCCCGUACACAAAAAUGCACAUGCUGUGAGCUCGAUGAGUAGGGCGGGACACGUGGUAUCCUGUCUGAAUAUGGGGGGACCAUCCUCCAAGGCUAAAUACUCCUGACUGACCGAUAGUGAACCAGUACCGUGAGGGAAAGGCGAAAAGAACCCCGGCGAGGGGAGUGAAAAAGAACCUGAAACCGUGUACGUACAAGCAGUGGGAGCACGCUUAGGCGUGUGACUGCGUACCUUUUGUAUAAUGGGUCAGCGACUUAUAUUCUGUAGCAAGGUUAACCGAAUAGGGGAGCCGAAGGGAAACCGAGUCUUAACUGGGCGUUAAGUUGCAGGGUAUAGACCCGAAACCCGGUGAUCUAGCCAUGGGCAGGUUGAAGGUUGGGUAACACUAACUGGAGGACCGAACCGACUAAUGUUGAAAAAUUAGCGGAUGACUUGUGGCUGGGGGUGAAAGGCCAAUCAAACCGGGAGAUAGCUGGUUCUCCCCGAAAGCUAUUUAGGUAGCGCCUCGUGAAUUCAUCUCCGGGGGUAGAGCACUGUUUCGGCAAGGGGGUCAUCCCGACUUACCAACCCGAUGCAAACUGCGAAUACCGGAGAAUGUUAUCACGGGAGACACACGGCGGGUGCUAACGUCCGUCGUGAAGAGGGAAACAACCCAGACCGCCAGCUAAGGUCCCAAAGUCAUGGUUAAGUGGGAAACGAUGUGGGAAGGCCCAGACAGCCAAUGUUGGCUUAGAAGCAGCCAUCAUUUAAAGAAAGCGUAAUAGCUCACUGGUCGAGUCGGCCUGCGCGGAAGAUGUAACGGGGCUAAACCAUGCACCGAAGCUGCGGCAGCGACGCUGAUGCGUUGUUGGGUAGGGGAGCGUUCUGUAAGCCUGCGAAGGUGUGCUGUGAGGCAUGCUGGAGGUAUCAGAAGUGCGAAUGCUGACAUAAGUAACGAUAAAGCGGGUGAAAAGCCCGCUCGCCGGAAGACCAAGGGUUCCUGUCCAACGUUAAUCGGGGCAGGGUGAGUCGACCCCUAAGGCGAGGCCGAAAGGCGUAGUCGAUGGGAAACAGGUUAAUAUUCCUGUACUUGGUGUUACUGCGAAGGGGGGACGGAGAAGGCUAUGUUGGCCGGGCGACGGUUGUCCCGGUUUAAGCGUGUAGGCUGGUUUUCCAGGCAAAUCCGGAAAAUCAAGGCUGAGGCGUGAUGACGAGGCACUACGGUGCUGAAGCAACAAAUGCCCUGCUUCCAGGAAAAGCCUCUAAGCAUCAGGUAACAUCAAAUCGUACCCCAAACCGACACAGGUGGUCAGGUAGAGAAUACCAAGGCGCUUGAGAGAACUCGGGUGAAGGAACUAGGCAAAAUGGUGCCGUAACUUCGGGAGAAGGCACGCUGAUAUGUAGGUGAAGUCCCUCGCGGAUGGAGCUGAAAUCAGUCGAAGAUACCAGCUGGCUGCAACUGUUUAUUAAAAACACAGCACUGUGCAAACACGAAAGUGGACGUAUACGGUGUGACGCCUGCCCGGUGCCGGAAGGUUAAUUGAUGGGGUUAGCGCAAGCGAAGCUCUUGAUCGAAGCCCCGGUAAACGGCGGCCGUAACUAUAACGGUCCUAAGGUAGCGAAAUUCCUUGUCGGGUAAGUUCCGACCUGCACGAAUGGCGUAAUGAUGGCCAGGCUGUCUCCACCCGAGACUCAGUGAAAUUGAACUCGCUGUGAAGAUGCAGUGUACCCGCGGCAAGACGGAAAGACCCCGUGAACCUUUACUAUAGCUUGACACUGAACAUUGAGCCUUGAUGUGUAGGAUAGGUGGGAGGCUUUGAAGUGUGGACGCCAGUCUGCAUGGAGCCGACCUUGAAAUACCACCCUUUAAUGUUUGAUGUUCUAACGUGGACCCGUAAUCCGGGUUGCGGACAGUGUCUGGUGGGUAGUUUGACUGGGGCGGUCUCCUCCUAAAGAGUAACGGAGGAGCACGAAGGUUGGCUAAUCCUGGUCGGACAUCAGGAGGUUAGUGCAAUGGCAUAAGCCAGCUUGACUGCGAGCGUGACGGCGCGAGCAGGUGCGAAAGCAGGUCAUAGUGAUCCGGUGGUUCUGAAUGGAAGGGCCAUCGCUCAACGGAUAAAAGGUACUCCGGGGAUAACAGGCUGAUACCGCCCAAGAGUUCAUAUCGACGGCGGUGUUUGGCACCUCGAUGUCGGCUCAUCACAUCCUGGGGCUGAAGUAGGUCCCAAGGGUAUGGCUGUUCGCCAUUUAAAGUGGUACGCGAGCUGGGUUUAGAACGUCGUGAGACAGUUCGGUCCCUAUCUGCCGUGGGCGCUGGAGAACUGAGGGGGGCUGCUCCUAGUACGAGAGGACCGGAGUGGACGCAUCACUGGUGUUCGGGUUGUCAUGCCAAUGGCACUGCCCGGUAGCUAAAUGCGGAAGAGAUAAGUGCUGAAAGCAUCUAAGCACGAAACUUGCCCCGAGAUGAGUUCUCCCUGACUCCUUGAGAGUCCUGAAGGAACGUUGAAGACGACGACGUUGAUAGGCCGGGUGUGUAAGCGCAGCGAUGCGUUGAGCUAACCGGUACUAAUGAACCGUGAGGCUUAACCUUACAACGCCGAAGCUGUU